Molecule: non-coding RNA, 334 nt
Organism: Penaeus vannamei (Pacific white shrimp)
Lineage: Eukaryota; Metazoa; Arthropoda; Malacostraca; Decapoda; Penaeidae
Source: RefSeq, a predicted model, not a curated record
AGCAAAAGAGGCCUUAUCUACAGCCCUUUCCAACUUGUCUGAGGAACCCCUAGAAGCUGACCUAUUACAUUUCAUGGAGCUCAAGAAGUCUCUUAUGAACUCCUGCCUUAUGAACGUGGUUGCAAGCCUAACCGAAGAGAAACUAUUAGCGAAGUGUUCAAAUUCAUAAGUGUCUAAGGAAGCAUUGACUUUGCGAAUAUGGAUCCCUGGCUUUUGACUUGAUAUCCUCUACGAAUGAUACCCUCAUAAGGCAACACAGCAAACCUAUAAACAUUGUAGUCAAUAGAUGCAACAUCUUGACCCAUUUUCCUCCCAAAAUAAAGACUGCAGCAUA